This 468-nucleotide ribosomal RNA is filed under the name uncultured bacterium. RNAcentral's name for it is "partial 16S ribosomal RNA". It matches the Rfam family "Bacterial small subunit ribosomal RNA", at positions 28 to 507 of the family's 1533-position model. The record is from RNAcentral.
GAUGAACGCUGGCGGCGUGCUUAACACAUGCAAGUCGAACGGUGAACACGGAGCUUGCUCUGUGGGAUCAGUGGCGAACGGGUGAGUAACACGUGAGCAACCUGCCCCUGACUCUGGGAUAAGCGCUGGAAACGGCGUCUAAUACUGGAUAUGUGACGUGACCGCAUGGUCUGCGUUUGGAAAGAUUUUUCGGUUGGGGAUGGGCUCGCGGCCUAUCAGCUUGUUGGUGAGGUAAUGGCUCACCAAGGCGUCGACGGGUAGCCGGCCUGAGAGGGUGACCGGCCACACUGGGACUGAGACACGGCCCAGACUCCUACGGGAGGCAGCAGUGGGGAAUAUUGCACAAUGGGCGCAAGCCUGAUGCAGCAACGCCGCGUGAGGGAUGACGGCCUUCGGGUUGUAAACCUCUUUUAGCAGGGAAGAAGCGAAAGUGACGGUACCGGCAGAAAAAGCGCCGGCUACUACGUG